AAAAAUAUCUCAACGAGAAUCUACUCUCACGUUCUACACAUUGUUUUUUUAAAGUGGAAAAAGGUUCCGUACAUGACGAUGCGGAACUAUCAUAAUUCAUAUCAACUUGACGGGUAGAAGAUAGUUCUCUGGUAAACAUGUGAACGCAUUGUCAUCGUUAGAGCUGCACCAUUGCACUUUGGUAGACCCUUCCAGACCCAAAAACAACAUUUUACCCCACCGUGUGUGAUUAUAAUGUAGAGCAUAUGUAACAUAUAUAGUUUCAGCAACGGAUCAAUUGGCUCUCGCAUCGAUAAAGUAUGCAGUCAAACCGAUAAGUAAUAUUAAUACCGAAUUCAGUGAAUCAUCGAAUCUUUGAACGCACCCUUUGGUCAUUGUAAUUCUGAGGAGCAUGCCUGUUGGAUUGUCAGUAAUAUUGCCUCAAACAGUUCUUUUGUGGAAGGGUUACAUGCGGGGGAUGAUUGCGCCUCAAAAGAGUUUCAGCUCCUCUAAAUCAUCAAUUUUCAACGUAUCAAAAUUCUACAAUCUUUUCCUUCCAUUAAAAACAUUCAGCAUCCAACUAACUUUAAACACUCCAUCACUAAGUAUCAGAACAGCACCACGUAUCUAUAC
This 612-nucleotide ribosomal RNA is filed under the name uncultured Cortinarius. Its description in RNAcentral is "eukaryotic LSU rRNA". The stretch from base 258 to 409 matches the Rfam family "5.8S ribosomal RNA". The record is from RNAcentral. Lineage: Eukaryota; Fungi; Basidiomycota; Agaricomycetes; Agaricales; Cortinariaceae.